RNAcentral lists this ribosomal RNA (460 nucleotides) under uncultured bacterium. Its description in RNAcentral is "partial 16S ribosomal RNA". It matches the Rfam family "Bacterial small subunit ribosomal RNA", at positions 338 to 795 of the family's 1533-position model. The record is from RNAcentral.
CCUACGGGAGGCAGCAGUGAGGAAUAUUGGUCAAUGGACGAGAGUCUGAACCAGCCAAGUAGCGUGAAGGAUGACUGCCCUAUGGGUUGUAAACUUCUUUUAUAUGGGAAUAAAAUGUUCCACGUGUGGGAUUUUGUAUGUACCAUAUGACUAAGGAUCGGCUAAAUCCGUGCCAGCAGCCGCGGUAAUACGGAAGAUCCGAGCGUUAUCCGGAGUUAUUGGGUUUAAAGGGAGCGUAGGUGGAUUGUUAAGUCAGUUGUGAAAGUUUGCGGCUAAACCGUAAAAUUGCAGUUGAAACUGGCAGUCUUGAGUACAGUAGAGGUGGGCGGAAUUCGUGGUGUAGCGGUGAAAUGCUUAGAUAUCACGAAGAACUCCGAUUGCGAAGGCAGUUCACUGGACUGCAACUGACACUGAGGCUCGAAAGUGUGGGUAUCAAACAGGAUUAGAUACCCGAGUAGUC